CCUACGGGUGGCUGCAGUGAGGAAUAUUGGUCAAUGGGCGCGAGCCUGAACCAGCCAAGUCGCGUGAGGGAAGACGGUCCUAUGGAUUGUAAACCUCUUUUGUCGGGGAGCAAAAGACGCCACGCGUGGCGUUCCGAGAGUACCCGAAGAAAAAGCAUCGGCUCACUCCGUGCCAGCAGCCGCGGUACUACGGAGGAUGCGAGCGUUAUCUGGAUUUAGUGGGUUAAAGGGGUGCGCAGGCGGAAGAUCAAGUCAGCGGUAAAAUUGAGAGGCUCAACCUCUUCGAGCCGUUGAAACUGGUUUGCUUGAGUGAGUGAGAAGUAUGCGGAAUGCGUGGUGUAGCGGUGAAAUGCAUAGAUAUCACGCAGAACUCCGAUUGCGAAGGCAGCAUACCGGCGCUCAACUGACGCUCAUGCACGAAAGUGUGGGUAGCGAACAGGAUUAGAUACCCCAGUAGUC
This 459-nucleotide ribosomal RNA is filed under the name uncultured bacterium. RNAcentral describes it as "partial 16S ribosomal RNA". It matches the Rfam family "Bacterial small subunit ribosomal RNA", at positions 338 to 795 of the family's 1533-position model. The record is from RNAcentral.